AUAUUAUUUAGCAAUUAUUAAGCCUUCAAAUAAUAAAGUAAUAUUGAAUUCUAACACAAAUAUAAUUACUUUUGAAUAUUCUGACUCUGAUAAUUUGAAGUUCGACCGUGAAGUAAUUAAGUAUACCCUAACACCUAACAUAUAAUUGUUUCAUCCCACAAUCAAACGCGGGUUCUUCCAAACAAUAUGUUGACUCUUAAAUUUUAUUCAACCGAAUCAAGUUCAAAAUACAAAUUUCAUUCAAAAUUCGAAAUACAAACGUUUACCCAAAUAUAGAAAACUAUGAUAUUCCGCCAAUUUGAAUAGAAGUACAACAGGAUUUGUCAUACAGUAUAGAUUAAAAGGUAUAAGAAUCUUAUUGAUAUGUACAGAAAAGGUAUGGACCAAGUCAAUAAACCGACAUUAAUGGCAACCAUGAUCUCAACCGCCACAACCACCUCCACACCCUCCGCCACAUCCACCUCCACCGUCUCCAUCUCCUCCGUCACCUCCACCACUGUACCCUCCGUCUCCGUGAUGACCGUGAUUUCCAGCUGAAGUUGUGUCAACAGGAGUCGUUGCUAUAGCAGCAGUCAUAAAAAUCAUGUUACCAUCUUUGGCACCGCUAUCACCUCUAUAUUUUGUGGCGCUAGCUUUAGAAGCAUGCAUGGCCUUAAAUCCUCCACCGUUCUUGUAUGUGUUAUUAUAAUCUCUUUUCUUUCCAUGUCGUGAGCAAAAGUUUCCCAUAGCUAUAUGUUGUUGGGUUCAAAGAUUUAGUUUCCGAUAAAGCUUUCUUAUCCUUUAUAUAUAGUAUAAUUUAUGGUCAAGACCGUGUUUACAAGAAAAAUUCUAUGAAGUUCUACGCAAUUAAUAUGAGAACUAGUCGCAUGACGUUAUAAUAACUACCUAAAGAAGCAUGACUUUUUUUAAAGUCAUGCUAUCAAGACUUUAAAACAAUUUAUUUUUGUACCGAAAAAAAAAAAACAAUUUAUUUAGGG
Molecule: long non-coding RNA, 977 nt
Filed under: Medicago truncatula (barrel medic)
Lineage: Eukaryota; Viridiplantae; Streptophyta; Magnoliopsida; Fabales; Fabaceae
Description: long non-coding RNA (MTRU_LNC005189)
Source: RNAcentral